Molecule: ribosomal RNA, 436 nt
Filed under: uncultured bacterium
Lineage: Bacteria
Description: bacterial SSU rRNA
Rfam family: Bacterial small subunit ribosomal RNA
Source: RNAcentral
UGAGGAAUAUUGGUCAAUGGCCGGAAGGCUGAACCAGCCAAGUCGCGUGAGGGAAUAAGGCCCUACGGGUCGUAAACCUCUUUUGUCGGGGAGCAAUGGGUGACUUGCGAGUCAUCAGGGAGAGUACCCGAGGAAAAAGCAUCGGCUAACUCCGUGCCAGCAGCCGCGGUAAUACGGAGGAUGCGAGCGUUAUCCGGAUUUAUUGGGUUUAAAGGGUGCGCAGGCGGUACGGAAAGUCAGCGGUAAAAGUUACGGAGCUCAACUCCGCCGAGCCGUUGAAGCUUCCGCACUAGAGUGAGCGAGAAGUAAGCGGAAUGCGUGGUGUAGCGGUGAAAUGCAUAGAUAUCACGCAGAACGCCGAUUGCGAAGGCAGCUUACCGGCGCUCAACUGACGCUCAGGCACGAAAGUGCGGGAUAUCGAACAGGAUUAGAUACC